RNAcentral lists this ribosomal RNA (880 nucleotides) under Daldinia eschscholtzii. Its description in RNAcentral is "partial large subunit ribosomal RNA". It matches the Rfam family "Eukaryotic large subunit ribosomal RNA", at positions 50 to 958 of the family's 3401-position model. Lineage: Eukaryota; Fungi; Ascomycota; Sordariomycetes; Xylariales; Hypoxylaceae. The record is from RNAcentral.
ACGGAGGAAAGAAACCAACAGGGAUUGCCCUAGUAACGGCGAGUGAAGCGGCAACAGCUCAAAUUUGAAAUCUGGCCCUAGCGGUCCGAGUUGUAAUUUGUAGAGGAUGCUUUUGGUGAGGUGCCUUCCGAGUUCCCUGGAACGGGACGCCGGAGAGGGUGAGAGCCCCGUACGGUUGGACGCCAAACCUCUGUAUAGCUCCUUCGACGAGUCGAGUAGUUUGGGAAUGCUGCUCUAAAUGGGAGGUAAAUUUCUUCUAAAGCUAAAUACCGGCCAGAGACCGAUAGCGCACAAGUAGAGUGAUCGAAAGAUGAAAAGCACUUUGAAAAGAGGGUUAAAUAGCACGUGAAAUUGUUGAAAGGGAAGCGUUUGCGACCAGACUUUUUCCAGGCGGAUCAUCCGGCGUUCUCGCCGGUGCACUCCGCCUGGUUGAGGCCAGCAUCGGUUUCCUUAGGGGGAUAAAGGCCUGGGGAACGUAGCUCCUUCGGGAGUGUUAUAGCCCCUGGCGUAAUACCCCUCGGGGGACCGAGGAACGCGCUCUGCAAGGAUGCUGGCGUAAUGGUCGUCAACGACCCGUCUUGAAACACGGACCAAGGAGUCGAACAUUUGUGCGAGUGUUUGGGUGUCAAACCCUCACGCGUAAUGAAAGUGAACGGAGGUGAGAGCCCUUACGGGUGCAUCAUCGACCGAUCCUGAUGUCUUCGGAUGGAUUUGAGUAAGAGCAUAACUGUUCGGACCCGAAAGAUGGUGAACUAUGCGUGGAUAGGGUGAAGCCAGAGGAAACUCUGGUGGAGGCUCGCAGCGGUUCUGACGUGCAAAUCGAUCGUCAAAUCUGCGCAUGGGGGCGAAAGACUUAUCGAACCAUCUAGUAGCUGGUACG